AGCUAGUCAACACCAGCCAGUUAGCUUGACUAACAUUGUGAGGUCAGAGCGCUCGGAUCAACCCUACUCCUCGGCUAGAGCGUCCAGGGUGCGCUCUGAAUGCUCAGAGAGCAAAAUGCUCUGAAUAAUUUACAAACUGACAACUCUCUGAAUUUAGGAACGACCAGAGCGCACUAUGCGCUCACUCUGACAUUCCAGAUUGAAUUUAUGAACACCCUAGGUCUUAAUUGAAAGUAGAAACCAAAAACCAUCAGACCCUCCAUGGAAUGAGUUUGACAUCUAUGUAGCAGCACAUGUACUAGUAGUAACGGUUAUCAAAACAUUUUUAAAUGGAUAAAACACAAUUCAUUACCCUCUCUCCUUUGUAGCGAACUAGCUAACCUUAGAUCUCUCUCUGUCGAUCAGAAGCAAAGAUGGUUAUGUACCGCCGGAUUGUAACCACUACUUUGAUAAGCACAUGCAUUUUAUCGUUUUCCAAAGCUUCGCUGGAGCCGUGUGAUUAGACCAACAGGAGUGCAUCCCUCAGACCAUCUGGUGCAUGGACAUCCUGUGCCAGUGUGAUCCAGUUGUGGAGACGACAGCACAUCGAGCCUGUGGACGAACAGUGCCAACUUCGGGAGCAUGUGGUCCUUGAAAAACUCAUCUAGUCCAGCAAUAGGAGUCUGCCAGAGGUCGUCACGCUGGAUGGGGAUGGUGACAGAGGCUUUGGUGGUCCACACAAUGAAUAAGCAAGUGUCCUUUCCAGUGUUGUGGAGCUGCCCUUAACCUGCUGCCAUUAAGGAUGGUAUUCACGGAGUCUGUAAGACCCUCCCUUCUGGAUAUAGAAAUCCUUUGACUUCACUGCCUCUUCAAUGUUAAGGUAGGGACCACUUAACCUAGGGACCACUUAACCUCCACCACUGCUGUGGUGCCCACUCUAGCUAUCUACCACCAGACCAUCCGGUGAGGCACCCAGGAUCCCAGACCCCGUGACCAAAAGCCUUGACUCCUGCCCAUCCAUCUCUGUAGCCAUUUUGAAUGCCUUGAUGUCCUUCGUUAUCUGUGCCCCAUUUUUACCACAUUCAACGUCUCAACACCUUUAAAUGUAUUCCUUGUAAGAAAUGUGCAAUAUAAAGUUUUAUUUGAUAACAUUGAUAACAUGUAGAAUAUUUCAUAAACUGUCAUUUUCAUAUAAGGGCAAGUACAGUUUUUCUAUAAACUUUUAAUUGAUAACUUGGGAUUUUAUGAGUUGACAUAGCAUAUAGUGGGAAGGAUCCUAUAAAUCAAGACUGUGUGAAUUCAUGUACCACUCUGAAUAAAUAAACUGUGCCUUUUGAA
Long non-coding RNA from Oncorhynchus mykiss (rainbow trout), 1317 nucleotides. RefSeq lists it as uncharacterized. The record is from RefSeq and is a predicted model, not a curated record. NCBI's taxonomy places the organism in Eukaryota, Metazoa, Chordata, Actinopteri, Salmoniformes, Salmonidae.